This 715-nucleotide long non-coding RNA is filed under the name Chrysolophus pictus (golden pheasant). Its description in RNAcentral is "lncRNA (ENSCPIG00010012403.1)". Lineage: Eukaryota; Metazoa; Chordata; Aves; Galliformes; Phasianidae. The record is from RNAcentral.
AGGAUCUUCUGGAUCGAUACGGCAAGUGCAUCGAGACUGUAGCAACACAUUUAAAACCUUAUAAAAGGUUAUUUAGUUGCUAACGGUGCAGCAGUUUCUGCAAAGCCUGCCAAAAGGUUACAGCUUUUUGGGCAUCAUAAAUUACGGACGACGGGGAAAAAAAGAUAUUUCCCACCAGUUGGGCUGCAGGGUCACCUCCAGCAGAGAAGACCUUGAGUGAUGGAUGCUGUGUCUCGCAGCGAUUUAUUGGAGGCUGUUGCAUACCUCUUAACCUCAAACACUGCAAGAAAGAAGACGGGAAGCCUACAGAGCCCCGAGAACCUGGAGACAGCAAACCCUGCUCAUUCCCUGGGCUGGGAGCUCUGCACUGUGCUGAACUGAGCCACGGAUGUGCAGAGCAAAGGAUCCUGAAGCCGUCCUGCCCCUCUGCAGUGCUUCUCCCUUUUGAAGCCAUGAGGAAUUUCGCAGAGAUUUCCAAAGCCUUUGGGGAGACCUUAUGGAAAUGUGCAGCUGGGGGAGACCGGAGCGCCCAGGGGCCCCUUAAGCAACGUUUGUGCAAACGGACAAAGAAAUCCUAACUAAUAAUGAGCCCCGUUCCAAGGUUAUGAUUGAGUUUUUCCCCUGUUCUGCUUGAUAUUUCUGCCAAAGAAAGAAAAAUCCUCGCUGAAGUCUAGCAGGAAAUCCAAUAAAAUUUCUUCAAAAGAUGGGUCUGACA